GGGGCAUAGAAGCAGAACCGAGUCGUAUGUGUGGAGGGAUAGUAACUGUGUGUGUAUAUGGUGAAACAUUGUGAUAUGACCUGUUGGUGGUAACUGUGGCCUUGGGUAAGUUAUAUAGAGCUGUUCUCCAAUGAAUAAAAGACUUUCCAAAACCACAGUUGUGAAAAAACUAUGAAAAAGAAGGACCAGUUUAACUUUGUCAAAGACUUUUUCUGCAUCUAGUGACAUUACUAUCGCUUUUGUUUUGUGAGGCUGUGCCAGGCUAAUGAGGUUGAAUAAUUUUCUAACAUUAUUAGUAGAAUGUCUGCCUUUGAUGAAUUGUGUUUUAUCAUUGUGAAUUAUUGAGGGGAGUGCUGCUUUUAACCUGUAGAUGUAAGUAACUUAGCGAUAACUUUAAUGUUGAUAUUGACUAAUGACAAAGGCCAGUAGAUCUCUAUCUCUGGUCUCUGUCUUGUUUUAGUAUUCAUUCUAUUCAAAUAUUGUUCAUAUGGGAAAGGAACUAGGCACUUAUUUUUAAUUUUGGUCACUGAUCUGAUAAAUAAUGCCACUACAUGUUAGCAUGUAGUGGCUACCUACUAAAACUGAUGUGGCAAUAAAUACGUUAUACUGUGUGUAAGGCCUUCUAUAGACAGAUAUAAUAAGCAACUAUUGUCUUUGAUGUGGCUUUUCUUCUUUUAUUAAUAAUUGUGCCAAAGCCACAACUGUGUGACAAGGACACUUGUCCUUCUAUAUCAAAGUUGUUUUUUUAUUAUGUUCUUUAAAAUUAAAACAGAAUGGUUACAUAGGGCUUCAGAGUGCUUUAUUUAAAAUACACCAAGGUGAUACUUUGUAUCCAUUUUUAGAAAAACUACACUAUGUAUGCUGCAAUAGCUCUUGUGCACACUGGACAAGGGUGUGGUUGUGGCCCACUAGGUAGAGCAAUGUGUCUAUCAGUCAGAAGGUCAUCCUGAAUGUAAAUUCAAUAUACUAAACCCCACAUAAUAAAAUGUGUUGGGAAAAGUGUUUUACAUCGGUCUGUAAGGAGGGCUGCAGAUGCAAUAGACAAAACACACUGGGAGGGUGGAAUUGUCUUCAUCCAACAUACAAUUUCUUUAUAAAAUACAGAUAACCAGGCAGCUCAAGUCGUGGUAUGAACAACCAAAGAAGAAUCAUGUACAAACUUUUUAAAAAAAGGCUACAGGACUACUACCCAGGGAUGGGAAGCUCAAAUCUGCCAUUAAGAAGGCAAGAAAUCCAACAAAUGAACCCUGACAAGGCACACCUGUGAAGUGAAACCAUUUCAGAACAGAGCAGCUUCAAGUUCCUGGGUGUCCACAUCUCCGAGGAUCUCAUCUGGA
Oreochromis niloticus (Nile tilapia) is the source of this 1337-nucleotide long non-coding RNA. RefSeq lists it as uncharacterized. Lineage: Eukaryota; Metazoa; Chordata; Actinopteri; Cichliformes; Cichlidae. The record is from RefSeq and is a predicted model, not a curated record. The transcript is spliced from 3 exons.